Molecule: ribosomal RNA, 253 nt
Filed under: uncultured bacterium
Lineage: Bacteria
Description: partial 16S ribosomal RNA
Rfam family: Bacterial small subunit ribosomal RNA
Source: RNAcentral
UACGGGGGGGGCAAGCGUUGUUCGGAAUUACUGGGCGUAAAGGGCUCGUAGGUGGUCAACUAAGUCGGACGUGAAAUCCCUCGGCUUAACCGGGGAACUGCGUCUGAUACUGGAUGGCUUGAGGUUGGGAGAGGGAUGCGGAAUUCCAGGUGUAGCGGUGAAAUGCGUAGAUAUCUGGAGGAACACCGGUGGCGAAGGCGGCAUCCUGGACCAAUUCUGACACUGAGGAGCGAAAGCCAGGGGAGCAAACGGG